UGCAGGAGGAAGAAGACCUGGCGGCAGG
This 28-nucleotide non-coding RNA is filed under the name Homo sapiens (human). The record is from RNAcentral. Lineage: Eukaryota; Metazoa; Chordata; Mammalia; Primates; Hominidae.